AGAGUGACUGUCCUAGGUGAGUGACUUCUUCCUUCUCCAUUGCUGUUCUCUCCACGGUUAGAGAUGAUUACUGUUGGAUUAUUUCUCAGCCUGUAUUUUGCUUCAUUCCUAAACUCCACUCUAGGUCAGCUCAAGGCUACACCCAGAGUCACCAUACUCCCACCUACCCCUGAAGAGCUCAGGACCAACAAAGUCACAGUGGUGUGUCUCGUAGAAGGCUUCUUCCCGGAAAAUUUGUCAGUGUCCUGGAAGACAGAUGACACUCCUAUCACCGCAGGUGUGGAGACUAGCCAGCCAUCCCUACAGAGCAACAACAAGUACAUGGCUACCAGCCUCCUGUCCUUGGCAAAAGAAAUGUGGGAAACUAAAAGCACUAUCAGCUGCCUCGUCGUUCAUGAAGGGGAGAUUGUGGAGAAGUUUCUGAUCCCUGCUGCGUAUUCCUAGGUCUUCUGACCUUCAUGUUACCCACCGAGCAUGAGAUCAGAAUCAUGCCCAAGAAUACCCUUACUGCUAUUGCCUAUCACAGCCGUUUUCCCUGCUCUCAAAAUGCACAAUAAAAUAUCUAUUAUCAGCCUGUAA
Molecule: non-coding RNA, 579 nt
Organism: Psammomys obesus (fat sand rat)
Lineage: Eukaryota; Metazoa; Chordata; Mammalia; Rodentia; Muridae
Source: the annotation of a RefSeq genome assembly